GAUGAACGCUAGCGGCAGGCUUAAUACAUGCAAGUCGUGGGGCAGCAUGAGUAGCAAUACUUGAUGGCGACCGGCAAACGGGUGAGGAACACGUACACAACCUUCCUUCAAGCGGGGAAUAGCCCAGAGAAAUUUGGAUUAAUACCCCAUAAUAUAUUUGAUAAGGCAUCUUAUUAAUAUUAAAGCUUCGGCACUUGAUGAUGGGUGUGCGGCUGAUUAGAUAGUUGCGGGUAACGGCCCACCAAGUCUACGAUCAGUAGCUGAUGUGAGAGCAUGAUCAGCCACACGGGCACUGAGACA
This 300-nucleotide ribosomal RNA is filed under the name uncultured bacterium. RNAcentral's name for it is "bacterial SSU rRNA". It matches the Rfam family "Bacterial small subunit ribosomal RNA", at positions 28 to 326 of the family's 1533-position model. The record is from RNAcentral.